UCGUAUUUAAAUGUUGAUAUUUUUCUGUAAUAUUUUAAUACAUUUCAGCAUAAAUCAUGUACCUAAGUAAUGCUAAUAAAAUAUAACUAAUGAAGCCAGGACGUAAAUUUCAAAUUGGUAUUAUGAAAACAAAAUGGGGGAAACUCAAAGGAGGCGCUUUGAAAUUGAAUGACAGAAGUCGGAUGUAGGUAUAAACUACAAGUACCAUACAAAUAGUUCUAUGGCUACUUCAGAACGUAUUUUCACGGAUUCGGAUCGGAUGCAGUGCGCAAGGGCGUUUGAGAACUCAUUCGUAUUCGUUAUCGUAAAAAUACGAUUCAAAGUGA
This is a long non-coding RNA of Maniola jurtina (meadow brown), 326 nucleotides long. RefSeq lists it as uncharacterized. Lineage: Eukaryota; Metazoa; Arthropoda; Insecta; Lepidoptera; Nymphalidae. The record is from RefSeq and is a predicted model, not a curated record. The transcript has 2 exons.